GCAUUGUCAUAAGCUGGGUUUUAUUUCAAACUCAAUUAUACAAUGUAGCAAUAGUAAAUAUUAAAAUGUAAUGCUAACUCAAAACUUGUAGAAUGCCUUCACUGAAUUUUGGUAUAAAGAGUAAACAAAACUUAUUCUGCAAAAGGAUUAGGAACCUUUUUAUGCAAAAAUGAGUAUUUUAUUUUGUCAACACUAAAAGAAAAAAAAAACAAAACCACUGUAUUUCUACAUUGAGGUGAAAACAAUGUUUAAACUUUCUUAUCAAUCAAAUACAUUCCAAAGGAAAGUGUGUUCUAUGAAGGUUCCAAAACACACUCAAAACACAAUAGUACAGGAAUCUAAUACUGAAAAUGACUGUUCUGACAGGGUGCUUAACAAACAUAACUUUUAAAUUAUUAAACCAGUGAAGCAAUCCCUUCCUAAUAAGUGUGUCAAGAGAGUGAAACUGGGUUUGUUCCAUUAAUACCCUAACAAUUUCAUCGUAAUACUUUUUACUGUUAUGACAGUUUUAAAUAAAUUUUGCUGUACUUAAAAUAGGUUUUGAAAGUGGAAAAGUGUACAAAGUUUCAGAUAAAAAGAUUAAUAGAUGCAAUUUAAAUAAAAUUUCCCCUCUUCUCUCAUAUCAACAAUAAUCAAUUUUAGCAGAUAACAGAUUGAGCUUUAAAACCCUACUCCCAAAAUGAAACCUUCAGUUUUAAAUCUUAAUCAGACAUAACUGGAAAAGAUUACUAUGUAUUUGGCCACCUUUUACAAGAUUUUGUUUUUGUAUUAAAGCAGAAACCAGUUCCUAAACUCUUUUAUUCAAUUGUAUGUCCUGUUUGGACAAAUAUCAAAAAUAGAAGACUGUCACUUUUGCUUUUGUAACUGUGAUUUUCACUGCAGUCUUCUAUAACUUUUACAGAGUUCAUGGUCCCUAAUAUCUCCCCACCCUCCAUUUUUUCUAGGUGGGGAAAUGGCUACCACAGUAAACUUCUCACUGAUAGUUAGAGUUUCUGGAAACAUGUAUUGUUUGUUAUUAUUUAAGAGUGACUCAAUUUGGGCACUCUGAGUGGAUGGUCUACAGGUUUUCUUGUGAUGCAUACCACAGUCUCCAGCAUGAAAAAUCCUAGGAACUUGAGGAACCAGCACUUUCCAGAAUUUUGGAAGACAAGAUACAGUCAAGUAUUGAAGAGUCCAGUCCCAGUUAUAAUCAUCAUAAGUACAGAAAGUGUCUGUGCACUCGAUCAGCUUCUGAUAGGCAUUCCGGGUCAAGGCUAGACCCAUAUUGUGCUCUGUGGAUUUCCAAGUUUUCACAUCUACCUUGUCAGCCAUGCCAUAGAAACUGCGACUGGCACUAUAGGUCCCCAGGGAGAGAACAUCACAUUCAGGGCACUCUUGCUGCUUCAGUUUCCACAUCUUUUUGAAGACAUGGUAAAAGUCUGGGGCUAAGUAGUGAUCCUCUUCUAGGAAAAGUACAAGGCCAGCAUAAUCUCGAAGAAUUUUCACUCUUUCCCACACAAAAUGCAGCUUCCACCACCAGUGAUGUUUGGUCUGGGAGAAUUUGGCCUCUCUAUAAUGGCCGAAGGAGUCGGGAUACUCAGCAUUGAUGCACCCCAAUUUCAAAGCGGCAUUCUUCGGCAGGUCUCUGGGACAAUCUCUAGGGUCACUACCUGGAAACUCGUUAGGGUACAACUGAAUGCUGAAAGGAAAGAACACCUGCAGAACCGGACAGAAAUUCACUCCGGCGAUCAGCUGAUUGAUCUCGGUCGACCAGAAGUCAUGGCUAAAGAUGACGAGGACGUUGUCAAUUCCCUGGGCUUUUCGAAGUGAGUCCAGCAGCAGUCUGAGGUAUUCGGGCCGGUUAUGCACCUGGACCACCAGCACCAGCUCCCGGGGGGCCCAGGUGCCAGCCUUAUCUACAUUCCUCAGCGUCUGAUCAAAGUUCAGCUGGUACACCAGGGACCGGUACCGCAGCGUCAGGUUGUCCGCCUCGGGCUGGGGGACCGCCGGGACCAGGGGAGCCGCCGACACGUUGGAGACCCUGCGGAUGCCCACAGCCACAGAGGGGUGGUCCCCGCCGCGGCCGCCGGCACCCCGCGCGGGUUCGGCGUCCAGCAACGGUGGGGCGAGGGCCUCGUUCUUCCUUUGUCGCCCAUUGCUGCUCCAGAGGACGAAGCCGCAGGCGGCCACCACGAGCGUCAGGAUUAGCACCUUCCGUUUGUAGAUGCGGAACCUCAUGGUCUCCAGGGCCGGGAGCGCAGCUACAGCUCGAGUAUCGGCGCCGCCGCUAGGAGCCGCGGCUCGGCUUCGUCUCCGUCCUCUCCAUUCAGCACCAAGGGUCCCGGAAGAAGCUCAGCCGCGGUCCCAACCGCACCCUAGCUUCGUUACCUGCGCCUCCAGCGGCCCUGCGUCCUCUGCGCUCUCAUCCUUACAGGGGCCCUAGACGGCCAGAACUGAGCGACGCAGCCUCGCCUCACUCCGGCGGGGACCGUUAU
RNAcentral lists this non-coding RNA (2474 nucleotides) under Pan troglodytes (chimpanzee). Lineage: Eukaryota; Metazoa; Chordata; Mammalia; Primates; Hominidae. The record is from RNAcentral.